GAUGAACGCUGGCGGCGUGCCUAAUACAUGCAAGUAGAACGCUGAAGCUUGGUUCUUGCACCGAGCGGAUGAGUUGCGCACGGGUGAGUAACGCGUAGGUAACCUGCCUGGUAUCGGGGGAUCACUAUUGGAAACGAUCGCUAAUCCCGCAUAACAGUCUAUAUUGCAUGAUGUCUGCUUGAAAGGUGCCAAUGCAUCACUACCACAUGGCCCUUCGUUGUAUUAGCUAGUUGGUGAGGUAACGGCUCACCAAGGCGACGCUACAUAGCAGAACUGAGAGGAUGAUCGGCCACACUGGGAGGGAGACACGGCCCAGAGGGAUACGGGAGGCAGCAGUAGGGAUUCGGGGGCAAUGGGGGGAAAACUGAGCGAGAAACGCCGAGGGAGGGAGGAAGGACUCCGGAUCGUAGAGCUCUGUUGUAAGAGAAGAACGAGUGUGAGAGUGGAAAGUACAGAGUGUGACGGUAUCUGACCAGAAAGGGACGGCUAACUACGUG
RNAcentral lists this ribosomal RNA (497 nucleotides) under uncultured bacterium. RNAcentral's name for it is "partial 16S ribosomal RNA". It matches the Rfam family "Bacterial small subunit ribosomal RNA", at positions 28 to 507 of the family's 1533-position model. The record is from RNAcentral.